This 656-nucleotide long non-coding RNA is filed under the name Physcomitrium patens. RNAcentral describes it as "long non-coding RNA (PPAT_LNC005058)". Lineage: Eukaryota; Viridiplantae; Streptophyta; Bryopsida; Funariales; Funariaceae. The record is from RNAcentral.
ACCACUUGAUCAAGAAGGCCGUUGCCGUGCGUAAGCAUUUGGAGAGGAACCGCAAAGAUAAGGAUUCCAAGUUCCGUUUGAUUUUGAUCGAGAGCCGUGUACACCGGUUAGCUCGCUACUACAAGCGCACAAAGAAGCUUCCCCCCACCUGGAAGUAGUAAGUUACCAUAUCCACACUGACUUCGUAGGCUUCUGUUUGCACCAUCUUCCACUUUUUUAUAAUUCUCACAUUUAGGUACUCUAAAAACAUAUCUUUUUGCACCUAAGUCAAUAAAUGGAAAGAAGAAUAGAAUUGAGUAGACUCUUAUCUGACAGGAGUAGUUUCCCGUUUCAUGACUCCGACUGGUGAGACCUUUUAGUUCAAGCACUCCACAUGUCCUUCAAGUCUGUCUCAUGAAUAAUCUCCAUUGAACUGAGCUAUGAAAUAUUUGUGUUUGUGUGCAGUGAGUCUGCCACCGCCAGUACACUCGUUGCUUAGGUGAAGAGGCCACUCGAUUGCCUCCAGAUUGAAGAAGCUCUUGCGGCGACACCUAGCUUUGCAUUCCAACUGUGUACUGAACAAAGACAUGCGUUAAUUGAAACACUCCGUCUUCAGGUUGCCACUGUUAGUAUUUGUGAAACUUUGCACUGAAAUCGGAUUUUUUACUGUUAUAUUU